Molecule: long non-coding RNA, 330 nt
Organism: Felis catus (domestic cat)
Lineage: Eukaryota; Metazoa; Chordata; Mammalia; Carnivora; Felidae
Exons: 2
Source: RefSeq, a predicted model, not a curated record
GGGAGGCAGGAAGGUUCAUGAGAGGGAGUUGAAGAGGUCGGAGAAGCAGAGGCCCAUUCCUUAGGAGCCUUGGAGCCCCCGGGGCCCAGGAUGAAGAGGAGCUUCUCAGGGAGGAAAUGCAGCUUGGACACUAGGGACGGCGGAACAGGACUGCCACUCCGACAGCUGCCCCCUCGCCUCAGCGGGGAGGGAACGAGACACAGGACAGCAGAGCAGUGGUUCCAAGUUUAAUGGAGGGCAAGGGGGGUGCUGCACUGAUGCUCAGCGAGGCCCCAAGGCGGCUGGGCGGCCCGGGCCCCAAGUGGAGCAUGUGCUUUUUGCAAUUGAAUA